This 492-nucleotide ribosomal RNA is filed under the name uncultured bacterium. Its description in RNAcentral is "partial 16S ribosomal RNA". It matches the Rfam family "Bacterial small subunit ribosomal RNA", at positions 29 to 507 of the family's 1533-position model. The record is from RNAcentral.
AGUGAACGCUGGCGGUAGGCCUAACACAUGCAAGUCGAACGGCAGCACAGUAAGAGCUUGCUCUUACGGGUGGCGAGUGGCGGACGGGUGAGGAAUACAUCGGAAUCUACUUUUUCGUGGGGGAUAACGUAGGGAAACUUACGCUAAUACCGCAUACGACCUACGGGUGAAAGCAGGGGAUCUUCGGACCUUGCGCGAUUGAAUGAGCCGAUGUCGGAUUAGCUAGUUGGCGGGGUAAAGGCCCACCAAGGCGACGAUCCGUAGCUGGUCUGAGAGGAUGAUCAGCCACACUGGAACUGAGACACGGUCCAGACUCCUAAGGGAGGCAGCAGUGGGGAAUAUUGGACAAUGGGCGCAAGCCUGAUCCAGCCAUACCGCGUGGGUGGAGAAGGCCUUCGGGUUGUAAAGCCCUUUUGUUGGGAAAGAAAAGCAGCAGGUUAAUACCCCGCUGUUCUGACGGUACCCAAAGAAUAAGCACCGGCUAACUUCGUG